This 721-nucleotide ribosomal RNA is filed under the name Marinobacter sp. RNAcentral's name for it is "bacterial SSU rRNA". It matches the Rfam family "Bacterial small subunit ribosomal RNA", at positions 211 to 928 of the family's 1533-position model. The record is from RNAcentral. Lineage: Bacteria; Pseudomonadati; Pseudomonadota; Gammaproteobacteria; Pseudomonadales; Marinobacteraceae.
CCUUGCGCUAUUACCUGAGCCUAAGUCGGAUUAGCUUGUUGGUGGGGUAAUGGCCUACCAAGGCGACGAUCCGUAGCUGGUCUGAGAGGAUGAUCAGCCACAUCGGGACUGAGACACGGCCCGAACUCCUACGGGAGGCAGCAGUGGGGAAUAUUGGACAAUGGGCGCAAGCCUGAUCCACCCAUGCCGCGUGUGUGAAGAAGGCUUUCGGGUUGUAAAGCACUUUCAGCGAGGAGGAAGGCCUUAACGCUAAUAUCGUUGAGGAUUGACGUCACUCGCAGAAGAAGCACCGGCUAACUCCGUGCCAGCAGCCGCGGUAAUACGGAGGGUGCAAGCGUUAAUCGGAAUUACUGGGCGUAAAGCGCGCGUAGGUGGUUAUGUAAGCGAGAUGUGAAAGCCCCGGGCUCAACCUGGGAACGGCACUUCGAACUGCAUGGCUAGAGUGUGGUAGAGGGUAGUGGAAUUUCCUGUGUAGCGGUGAAAUGCGUAGAUAUAGGAAGGAACACCAGUGGCGAAGGCGGCUACCUGGACCAACACUGACACUGAGGUGCGAAAGCGUGGGGAGCAAACAUGAUUAGAUACCCUGGUAGUCCACGCCGUAAACGAUGUCAACUAGCCGUUGGGGAUCUUGAAUCCUUAGUGGCGCAGCUAACGCACUAAUUUGACCGCCUGGGGAGUACGGCCGCAGGUUAAACUCAAUGAAUUGCCGGCGCCCGCACAA